GGAUCAUUACUGAAAAACUACUUAGUUUUUUAUAUCCCAUUGUUUACCUACCCUGUUGCUUCCACUGGACAUGUUUUUACCUUGUGUGGAACCUUUGGUUUGUGUGAAUCACACAUGCCAGGGAGUUGCCAGUGGCAAGACCAUUUACCAAAACUUGCUUAAAACAAACUGUCUGAAUUUUUUGCUUCAAUGAAAUAAAACUUUCAACAACGGAUCUCUAGGCUCUUGCAUCGAUGAAGAACGCAGUGAAAUGCGAUAAGUAAUGUGAAUUGCAGAAUCUCGUGAAUCAUCGAAUCUUUGAACGCACAUUGCGCCCUAUGGUAUUCCGUAGGGCAUGCCUGUCUGAGCGUCAGCUCCCCCCCACUCAAGUAUCCUUUUUGUGAUGUUUGGAUUGCUUUGGAGAGGUAGCUUUUAUUACAGAGUCGCCCUUCAGAAAUUCAUAGGCAGUAUGGUUUGCACUUGAACCAGACGUAAUAAUAAUAAAAUCGUUUGUUUGGGUAGAAUUGUACUUGCCUUAACCCACCCACCCAUUAAACUCUGGGUGACCUCAGAUCAGGUAGGGAUACCCGCUGAACUUAAGCAU
Molecule: ribosomal RNA, 583 nt
Filed under: uncultured fungus
Lineage: Eukaryota; Fungi
Description: eukaryotic LSU rRNA
Rfam family: 5.8S ribosomal RNA (bases 199-352)
Source: RNAcentral